AUACGUAGGGAGCGAGCGUUGUCCGGAAUUACUGGGUGUAAAGGGUGCGUAGGCGGGACUGCAAGUCAGAUGUGAAAUGCCGGGGCUCAACCCCGGAGCUGCAUUUGAAACUGUGGUUCUUGAGUGAGGUAGAGGUAAGCGGAAUUCCUAGUGUAGCGGUGAAAUGCGUAGAUAUUAGGAGGAACAUCGGUGGCGAAGGCGGCUUACUGGGCCUUUACUGACGCUGAGGCACGAAAGCGUGGGGAGCAAACAGGAUUAGAUACCCUGGUAGUCCACGCUGUAAACGAUGAUGACUAGGUGUGGGGGGACUGAACCCUUCCGUGCCGCAGUUAACACAAUAAGUCAUCCACCUGGGGAGUACGGCCGCAAGGUUGAAACUUAAAGGAAUUGACGGGG
RNAcentral lists this ribosomal RNA (396 nucleotides) under uncultured bacterium. Its description in RNAcentral is "partial 16S ribosomal RNA". It matches the Rfam family "Bacterial small subunit ribosomal RNA", at positions 523 to 918 of the family's 1533-position model. The record is from RNAcentral.